This 971-nucleotide ribosomal RNA is filed under the name uncultured euryarchaeote. Its description in RNAcentral is "partial 16S ribosomal RNA". It matches the Rfam family "Archaeal small subunit ribosomal RNA", at positions 80 to 1053 of the family's 1478-position model. Lineage: Archaea; Methanobacteriati; Methanobacteriota. The record is from RNAcentral.
GGCGAACUGCUCAGUAACACGUAGCUAAUCUGCCCUUAGGUCGAGGAUAUCCUCGGGAAACUGAGGCUAAAACUCGAUAAAAGACAUGCCCUGGAAAGACUUGUCUUUGAAAUUCGAGCCUAAGGAUGAGGCUGCGGUGGAUUAGGUUGUUGGCGGGGUAAUAGCCCACCAAGCCGAUGAUCCAUAAGGGCUCUUAGCGGAGAAGCCCUGAGAGGGAAUCUGAGACACUAUUCCCAGCCCCACGGGGUGCAGCAGUUAGGUAUAAUCUACAAUGCGCGAAAGCGUGAUAGUUUGAGUCAGAGUGCGUUUCUUUGAAAUGCUUUUGUGAAAUGUAAAAAGUUUCACGAAUAAGGACUGGGUAAGACUAGUGCCAGCCGCCGCGGUAAUACUAGCGGUCCAAGUCGCAGCCAUUUUUAUUGGGUCUAAAACAUCCGUAGCUUGCUUGGUAAGUUCCUUGUGAAAUCUUAUAUCUCAAAUAUAGGGCGUGCAAGGAGUACUGCUAAGCUAGAGACUGGGAGACGUAAAGAGUACGUUCGAGGUAGCGGUAAAAUGUGUUAAUCUCGGGCGGACUAACAAUAGCGAAGGCACUUUACGAGAACAGUUCUGACAGUAAGGGAUGAAGGCUAGGGGCGCAAAACGGAUUAGAUACCGUGUAGUCCUAGCAGUAAACACUGCUCACUAAACAUCGGGACCUCUUCGGGAGGUUUCGGUGCUGCAGCGAAGGCGAAGAGUGAGCUACCCUGGGAAGUAUAGUCGCANNAGGGCUGGAAACUUAAAGGAAUUGGCGGGGAGACACUACAACGAGUGACGCGUGCGGUUCAAUUAGAUUCUACACNCGUGAACCUCACCAGGAGCGACAGCAGAAUGAAGGUCAGUCUGAAGGGCUUACCUGACACGCUGAGAGGAGCUGCAUGGCCGACGUCAGCCUGUGUCGUGAGAUGAGCUGUUAAAUCAGUUAACAGGCAAGACCC